Oncorhynchus tshawytscha (Chinook salmon) is the source of this 1672-nucleotide long non-coding RNA. Lineage: Eukaryota; Metazoa; Chordata; Actinopteri; Salmoniformes; Salmonidae. The record is from Ensembl.
AAACUAGGUUCAGAUUGAGCUGUACUGGUAAACUAGGUUCAGAUUUAGCUGUACAUCUAAACUAGGUUCAGAUUUAGCUGUACAGGUAAACUAGGUUCAGAUUGAGCUGUACUGGUAAACUAGGUUCAGAUUUAGCUGUACAUCUAAACUAGGUUCAGAUUUAGCUGUACAGGAAAACUAGGUUCAGAUUGAGCUGUACAGGUAAACUCGGUUCAGAUUUAGCUGUACAGGUAAACUCGGUUCAGAUUUAGCUGUACAGGAAAACUAGGUUCAGAUUUAGCUGUACAGGUAAACUAGGUUCAGAUUUAGCUGUACAGGUAAACUAGGUUCAGAUUUAGCUGUACAGGUAAACUAGGUUCAGAUUUAGCUGUACAGGUAAACUAGGUUCAGAUUUAGCUGUACAGGUAAACUAGGUUCAGAUUGAGCUGUACAGGUAAACUCGGUUCAGAUUGAGCUGUACAGGUAAACUAGAGCUGGUAAAAAAGGAUUAAACCCUAAUAUGAUGUUAAAACAUUGUGGUUUAAGCCCUAGAUUAGGGUUUGUAGAGCCUAAAUAAUUCACAAUGAAAUUAUGUAAAGUAACAUAAAAAAUGAUAGGUUAGAAAAACAUAAUAUUGCCAGGACGAAUCCAUGAGGACAAGAGUUAGGUUCAAUCAGGUAAGAGUUAACCUAGCUUGUAGAUAAAGGUGUAUUAUUACUCUUAAAAAUGUAUUUGUAAAAAUGUAUUUUGUUCUUUUAUUUUGUUGUACAGUUAUAUUUUUUAAAUAUUUUUUUUCUUAUUUUUAUUUUAUUUUACAUAAAUGAUUUAAAUAUUUUGUUAUCUCUAAAUUAAAUAUAAUUUAAAAUCUUCAAUAAUUAAUUUUGAAAGAUAGGGGUUGAAAUAUGGAUGUUAAACAGCUGUACUUUAAGACAUUAUUGCGUUAAUAACAACCAUUUUCAAAUGUGAGUUAGUAUCAUGUUAUGGGCAAAGGACAUAACAUAUCAUAUUAUGUUAAAUGCCAGUUAUGGGGAUAAAUACCUGCCCAAAUUAUUAUGAAUAUAACCAUAUAUUUGUUCUUGUGUUUUGGCACAUAUCUAUCUUCAUAACUUGAGGAAAGAUGUCAGUUGUGCAGAAAAUUUGCAGGAAAUGUGCAGGAAAUGCAGGAUAUGCAGAUGAGGAUGAGGGUUUUGUUAGUCUUCCAGGUACAGUUUGCUCUUCAUUGACAUCCUCCUGCAGGGUCAUACUACGGGACAGACAGUAUUGUACUGUAGUAGAGGUCUUAGUGAUGGAUAGAGCAGGGGGAGAGAGAGAGAGAGAAAAGAUACAGAGACAUUUGUAAAACGGUGCAGAUGGAUUUUCCCCCUCCUUCAUAAUUAGAAGUGUUUCAUUUAUUGUUAUAUAAUUUAAUCUUUAUAAUAGCUAGCGACCUCCUGUGGCCAAAAUACGGUACUGGUUCUGGUCUUGCCUCUCUACUUGGGAGUGAUAGGCAGAAUUAGAAAGAAGCUAAUGUAUUCUCUCUCUUCCUCGUCUCUCCUGUUCCUCUCGUCCAUGUUCCGAUAGAAGUAAACUGUUCCUCAUUCUGUAUUCCGUAUCACCGUGGCACCACUACUGUUCUCCGUGCCCAUAUGACGUGUGUAACACGUCCGUGUCCAUGCUAUAUCAACGUGCUCUGGAUGUUAAUAACAAAGUGCUC